CAGCUGUAAACGAUGCAGACUAGGUGUUUGGACGGCCACGUGCCGCUCUAGUGCCGCAGGGAAGCUGUUAAGUCUGCCGCCUGGGGAGUACGAUCGCAAGAUUGAAACUUAAAGGAAUUGGCGGGGGAGCACCACAAGGGGUGAAGCUUGCGGUUUAAUUGGAGUCAACGCCGGAAAUCUCACCGGGAGCGACAGCAGUGUGAUAGCCAGAUUAAAGGUCUUGCUAGACGAGCUGAGAGGAGGUGCAUGGCGUAGUCGUGU
Molecule: ribosomal RNA, 261 nt
Filed under: uncultured archaeon
Lineage: Archaea
Description: partial 16S ribosomal RNA
Rfam family: Archaeal small subunit ribosomal RNA
Source: RNAcentral